Molecule: ribosomal RNA, 494 nt
Filed under: uncultured bacterium
Lineage: Bacteria
Description: partial 16S ribosomal RNA
Rfam family: Bacterial small subunit ribosomal RNA
Source: RNAcentral
GACGAACGCUGGCGGCGCGCUUAACACAUGCAAGUCGAACGGAAAGGCCUGCUUUCCCUUGUGGAUUGCGGGUACUCGAGUGGCGAACGGGUGAGUAACACGUGAGUGAUCUGCCCCCAACUUGGGUAUAAGCCUGGGAAACUGGGUCUAAUUCCCGAUAGGACUGCAGGGAGGUGCCUGUGGUGGAAAACGAUUUUCUAGUGGUUGGGGAUGAGCUCGCGGCCUAUCAGCUUGUUGGUGGGGUAAUGGCCUACCAAGGCGGCGACGGGUAGCCGGCCUGAGAGGGUGGACGGCCACAUUGGGACUGAGAUACGGCCCAGACUCCUACGGGAGGCAGCAGUGGGGAAUAUUGCACAAUGGGCGGAAGCCUGAUGCAGCGACGCCGCGUGGGGGAUGACGGUCUUCGGGUUGUAAACUCCUUUCGACCGCGAGGAAGCCACCUGGUUGGAAGGGUGGUGACGGUAGUGGUAGAAGAAGCACCGGCUAACUACGUG